Molecule: ribosomal RNA, 433 nt
Filed under: uncultured bacterium
Lineage: Bacteria
Description: bacterial SSU rRNA
Rfam family: Bacterial small subunit ribosomal RNA
Source: RNAcentral
AACGAACGCUGGCGGCGCGCCUAACACAUGCAAGUCGAACGAAGGCUUCGGUCUUAGUGGCGCACGGGUGCGUAACGCGUGGGAAUCUACCCUUGGGUUCGGAAUAACUCGCCGAAAGGCGUGCUAAUACCGGAUGAUGACGUAAGUCCAAAGAUUUAUCGCCCAGGGAUGAGCCCGCGUAGGAUUAGCUUGUUGGUGAGGUAAAAGCUCACCAAGGCGACGAUCCUUAGCUGGUCUGAGAGGAUGAUCAGCCACACUGGGACUGAGACACGGCCCAGACUCCUACGGGAGGCAGCAGUAGGGAAUAUUGGACAAUGGGGGAAACCCUGAUCCAGCAAUGCCGCGUGAGUGAUGAAGGCCUUAGGGUUGUAAAGCUCUUUUACCCGAGAUGAUAAUGACAGUAUCGGGAGAAUAAGCUCCGGCUAACUCCGUG